UACGUAGGGUGCGAGCGUUGAUCGGAAUUACUGGGCGUAAAGCGCGCGCAGGCGGUUUUGUAAGUCAGAUGUGAAAUCCCCGGGCUUAACCUGGGAAUGGCAUUUGGGACUGCAAGGCUGGAGUGUGGCAGAGGAGACUGGAAUUCCUGGUGUAGCAGUGAAAUGCGUAGAUAUCAGGAGGAAUACCGAUGGCGAAGGCAGGUCUCUGGGCUGACACUGACGCUCAUGCACGAAAGCGUGGGGAGCAAACAGG
This 253-nucleotide ribosomal RNA is filed under the name uncultured bacterium. RNAcentral's name for it is "partial 16S ribosomal RNA". It matches the Rfam family "Bacterial small subunit ribosomal RNA", at positions 524 to 776 of the family's 1533-position model. The record is from RNAcentral.